RNAcentral lists this transfer RNA (76 nucleotides) under Campylobacter upsaliensis. Its description in RNAcentral is "tRNA-Ala". It matches the Rfam family "tRNA". From Rfam's summary of the family: Transfer RNA (tRNA) molecules are approximately 80 nucleotides in length. Their secondary structure includes four short double-helical elements and three loops (D, anti-codon, and T loops). Further hydrogen bonds mediate the characteristic L-shaped molecular structure. tRNAs have two regions of fundamental functional importance: the anti-codon, which is responsible for specific mRNA codon recognition, and the 3' end, to which the tRNAs corresponding amino acid is attached (by aminoacyl-tRNA synthetases). tRNAs cope with the degeneracy of the genetic code in two manners: having more than one tRNA (with a specific anti-codon) for a particular amino acid; and 'wobble' base-pairing, i.e. permitting non-standard base-pairing at the 3rd anti-codon position. Lineage: Bacteria; Pseudomonadati; Campylobacterota; Epsilonproteobacteria; Campylobacterales; Campylobacteraceae. RNAcentral also lists the same sequence under 1 other name. The record is from RNAcentral.
GGGGCAUUAGCUCAGCUGGGAGAGCACGACGCUGGCAGCGUCGGGGUCAGCGGUUCGAGUCCGCUAUGCUCCACCA